GGAGAGGUGGCAGAGUGGUCGAAUGCGGCGGUCUCGAAAACCGUUAGGCCCGUAAGGGUCUCGUGGGUUCAAAUCCUACCCUCUCCG
Molecule: transfer RNA, 87 nt
Filed under: Candidatus Taenariivivens baikalensis
Lineage: Bacteria; Pseudomonadati; Candidatus Omnitrophota
Description: tRNA-Ser
Rfam family: tRNA
About the family: Transfer RNA (tRNA) molecules are approximately 80 nucleotides in length.
Source: RNAcentral